Cavia porcellus (domestic guinea pig) is the source of this 9020-nucleotide RNA transcript. It is a transcript of the gene named signal transducing adaptor family member 1, with no coding region annotated. The transcript has 3 exons. The record is from RefSeq and is a predicted model, not a curated record. Lineage: Eukaryota; Metazoa; Chordata; Mammalia; Rodentia; Caviidae.
CUAAAAUAAAAUAUUAUGAUUAAAAUUAAACCAAAUCCUCAGUUACAUUUAACUUUACAAUGAUUGACUCAUAAAAAUAUUAAAUGUCUAUUAAAACUGUGAAAAUUAUAAAAUUAUUACUAUUUAACAUUGUAUAGAUAUACUUUCUAAAAACACUGUUCAAGAUAGUGACUUUAAAAGAUAAUAGGGUGCUAUUGUGGGUAGCAAGUUCACUACAAAACGCAUUUGUCCUAGGAAAAUUCACAGAAUAUUUCAUAUUUUUAAAAUGCAAAAAUUAAAACCUAUUGUUAACUAACAUUAUUACCUUUAACAUAGAAAUUAUGAACAACUCAAAAUUAAUAAAGAAUGUUACUAAACAUUUGACUAUUAAGUCAAAUGUUAUGAAAUUUUAGUUUUGUGUGGGUUUUUUUCGGUAGUGGGGAUCGAACUCAUGACCUCACACUUGUCAGGCAGGCGCUUAUGCUGCUAAGCUAAAUCUCUGGCCCCUAAAAUAUUAAUAUUGACCAAAAAUAGAAAAUUUUUAAUGUUUUCAGAAAUGCCAUAACUAUUUUAUGAUUAUAGUAAAAUGUGUUUUAUGAGAAUUUAUUAAUGCUUAAGGAAAAGCAUGAGUAUGACAAUACAGGGAGAUGUUAAUAUUUCCUACAUAUAUAAUCUGCUCAUAUAUGGCUUGAGGCCAAAGCCUUGGUAAUUUGUAUUAUUAUGGAUAUUAAACAUGUAUCUGCCAGUCAUACUGGAAUUUUGUUGUUGAUCACAUGUACACCACAGGUUAGCUACAUUGUUACCCUUUCCCAGGAACGGAAAACAGUAAAAAAGAAAUUUCUGAUUUGUAAUUUCAAUUUGGUUAUCUAUUGAAUAUCUCAAAAUUAUAGUAACUUUUCUAAUAGCAAGUUUUUGUCUUACUUUUAAAAAAGAUGCACCACUGAUAUGGUUACCAGAAAGAGCAAGAAUUUUAAAAUGUCAAUAAAAUGUCUUUACCUAAUGGUUUUGUCACUUAUAGCUGUGGUCUGAUACAAAUUAAUCUGUUAGACUCAGUUUCCUAAACUAUAAAAUGGAGAGAAUGCAUACUACUUGCCUUAAUAAAAUGUAUUACUGUAUGCAGUGUUUAUCUACUAUGUCUGGGAUAAGUAGGUACUGGAUUAAUUCAUUCAUUCAAGCAACUUUUAUUGUGUUUCUUUGAUGCACCAGUUAUCACAUGUAUUUCUGGAAAACAUGAAUAAAACACAAAGACCCUUACUUAUAUCAAGAGCGUUAGCUGGGGAAAAAAGUGUGUGUGGGGGGGGGUAGCUGUGUAGUGGUACCAUCUUCUUAUCCGCUGCUACUUUUUCUUAGAAAAAUAUGCUUUGAAAAACAAUUAGCAGACUAACUAUAGGUACAAAUAUUUUUGAUGAGGGAUGGGGAUGUAGAUCAGUAGUAUAAUACUUGCCUAAAGUGUGAGGCUCUGGGUUUGAUCCCCAGCACCAAAAAAUGUGCAAACACACACACACACACACACACACACACACACACACGAUUUUUUUCCAAUGAAAUUAAUUUGUUUUUUCAUUUGACUUCAUAGUAAAGUGUGUCUUUCUCAUAUAUCCAAGAGAAGGAGAGCAAGAGGAUGACAAUAAUGCCUACAUUCUAGCACGGUUUCUAGAAUUAAAGGAGUAACAUAUGUAAAACAUGUGGAUCACUCUAAAGUAUAUCUUCCCAUUUAAUUAUUUUAUUUCCACUGUAAUUAUUUCCACUAACAUCCUAAUGCUAAUUUAGAUCCACAAUAAAAUGGCACAAAGAAGAGCCAUGGAGAUACAGUGCUGAAAAAAAAUAAAGCCAUGAGAAAAAGCUAAGGAAAAUGAGUGGGAUUUUCAUGCAUUUGGAGAAGUGUCAGGAAACCUGUAGGAGGAGGAAGACCUGAGACUGGUACAGCCUGGUCUCUUCUGAGCUAAAAGGAAGGAGACACUGAGAGGCUCUGUGACGUGGAGACUCUGCUGGGGGAAUGUGUAAUAUUGUAGCUGCACAAAAUAUAACUGAAGAGGACUGUGACCUGUAAGGGGUUAUAUGUUUUUUUUUGUCUUUUUUAAGGGGUUAUAUGUUAAAAGGCAAUUUUUAGAAGCUUUUGUGUGGGGACACGGGGAUAGUUUUAAAAAAUUAAGGAGCUUUACCCCAGGAAAAUGCACAUCUUACAGUUUUGCAUACAAUUGCAGAAAGACCCUAGAUCUGAGAUCAAAAAUCCAUGAAAAGAACAUAAACUUCAUGGAAAAGAUAGUGUGGAAAGAUUUACUUAAACUGCAGCAUUAAGAUUCUGGGUUUAACAGGAAAUCUUACUUGUUAAAUAAACUAUUAAAUGUCACAAUAGGAUGCCAAUGGUGUCACAUCCUUUUAGGAGUGAAAAAAUUUCGCAUUUUUCUGGAAGUGUUGUAGUAUCUUUUUUUAAAAAUUGUAUUUAAAGAAAGACUAAACAAAACAAAUGGGUAGAAAUAAUACAUACUUUCAAAGAAAAAAAUAAACAGUAAGAAAUCACGAGUUUAUGAUUACAGGUUGUCCUCUUACAAAUAGUUAUUCAAGAUACUAAAGUAGAGCAUAUAAAGUGGGGAUUCAAACAGUGAGACUGCAACCAGUUCUGUUCAACUAACCAUCAAAAACUUAGAAAUAUGGUUAUCAAUCUAUUACACUUAAGCAUACAAGCAGUUAUCCAUAUCUUCAAUUAUGUUGAGAUUGAACAAACCCAAGCAGGCUAAUAUCACUCUGAACAAAAAAUAAUACUAUUGCUGGGUUUCACAUUAUGACACUCCAGGAUCAGCACUGGGUACUUUAGUGUCUCUUUUUCUUCAAAGCAUCUGUUUAUUUCAUCAUGUGUCAUAAGAUCAGUUCCCAUAAACUGUUUAUAGAUUCUACACAUGCAUGAAUCUUAACAUGUAUUUCUAUACUUUCUAUAUGAGAGGGAGAAACAAAACAAAGCAAGACAAAACAAAACAUAUUCCUAUAAACACAUAAAUGAUAAAGACAUAUAAGACCAUUGUAUAAGGAGUUCUACCAUAGUUCCUGUGUUGUCCCUUGUUAUCUCCAAUAGAACUGGCAAUAUCAUCAGACAUAGUAUAACUGAAUAUGUCAGUACAUAACAGUAUUAAUAAAAUACAACUUUUUAUAUAGUGUAGAACUUCAAAAACAGGCAGUUAUCAAACCGGAUUGUAUACUGGAUUGUCGUCUUCAGUGUAGUUGCCUGUACUCUCAGACUUGAUAUUAUCAAUCAUAUCAGUUUUGAAUAAAAUAUGUCAAUACCAAACAGCAAUCAAACAAACCACAUUUAACUAAAGUCAGUCAUGAUAAAACAGUGUAAGUCAUACAGGGCUCCAGAUUAAGAUAAUAGGAAAUUAAAGAUGAUUACUGUGCUAUAUCCUGAUGUUUUUGGGAUAGCUGUCUGUGCCCUCAAAUCUAAUGCAAGUAGACAAACUGGGACAGAAUAAAAUCUAUCUAAGCAGAGUGGUGCAAGUAAUGUGGGUUUUAAAUCCUGAUACACUAUUAACAGUAUCUUCUGCCAUCUUUUUUAAGACUCUCCCUCCCCUUUCACUUCCCCAGGGUACACUGUACAUUUUUGGGUCUCACCAAGACCCUUGGUUUUAAAUUGGGUGGGUGGGGGCAACCUGCUAUUUACCUAAGUGGUUUUGAACCUUCUCUCUCCUGGACUUGAUCUCUAAUUGUAUUCCUUUACCUAUUAAAGCCUGUCUUUCCAACCUAUCCACAAAUACUGGUCUAGUUGCCCCUAUUACUCUCUGGUUCUCUGUCACAUAGAGUAUUGUUUUCUCAUAUUUGAUUUUCAGUCCAUGUACUCUUUUUCAUGUUAAUUAUAUUUCCUGUAAAUAGCAUCUCGGUGGACCCUGCCUCCUGAUCUACUCCAUGCGUGGUUUUUUUUUUAAUUUAGUGUAUCAAGGCCAUCUGUAUUAGAAAUUAUAACCAACCUUCUCUGCCUCAUUUCUGUAUGCUCUUUUUUUGCCAUCAGUUGUCUACUUAUCUUCUUCAUUCUGUUUUCUGCUCCAUUCACUGAGGCUGCUCUGCCACUCUUCCUGGAAUCCUAAUAGUUUUCUCUCUCUCUAGAAUGCCCUGCAGUAUUCUCUGUAGAGUUGGACUGGUGGGUGCGAAUUUCCCAAGUUCCUCUUUGUCUUGGAAGAAUCUUGUUUCUCCAUUAAUUUCUAGAGACAGUUUAUCAGGGUAUAUCAAUUUGGGCUGGAGGUUAUUUUCUUUCAGGGCUUGGAAUAUUUCACUCCAGGCUCUUCUUGACUUGAUGGUUUGUGUCAAGAAGUCUGCCGUUAUUCUGAUCGGCUUUUAUAGAUUAUCUGUUUCUUAUUUCUAACAGCUUUUAAGAUUCUGAUCUUAUAUUGAAUUUCUGGUAUCUUGGAAUAUUAUAUGCCUGGGUGAGGCUCUGUUUUGGUUGUAGGUGGAUGGAGUUCUCUAUGCCUCAAAUAUCUUCAUAUCAUUUCCUUUUCUUAUGUUUAGGAAGUUUUCCGUAAUUAUUUCUGGGAAGAGCCUUUGUAGUUCCUUUGUUUGUACCCCUGCUUCUUCAUUAACAUUCUUUAUUCUCAAGUUAUAGAUCCUCUUGUUGUCUUCCAGCCUUUGUAUUGUUACUGCUUGUUUCCUUGUUAUUUUAAAAAAGUUUUUCCUUUCAUAAUUCCACACUGCAAACCUGUCCUCCAGUUUGGAUAAUCUAUCUUUAGUUUCUUUCAAGCAGAUCUGCCAUCUUUCCAUAGAGUUUUUAAUUUCCUGGUAAUCUCUUUGAAUCUGUUUCAUGUAUUCUAUAUUUACUUUAUAUGCUUCAUCAAAUGGUUCUCUCAUUUGUUUGAGUUCCUCCCUUCUUCUGUCUGUGUCUCCUUGAGGGGGGCUUAGCAUCUCUUUUAUUAAUCUUAUACCUUGCUUUACUUGGCUAAAUAUUUCCCUUUUGAACUCGUCUAUGAGGUCCUGAAUAUAUCUCUUUAUGUCCACUGGUGCUGUGUCUGAUAUUGCAUGUUUGCUGUUCUCAUUCUCCUUUGUAUUUACCUGUCCUGGGUCAAUGUUCUCAAGAUUGGAACCUGGGGACUUUUUGUUGUUGCUUCCUCUUCCCAUCUUUUUGCUUCUUCCAAGAGGCCCCAGUUUCUAUCUUUGUUGGUUACAAUUCUUCUGAAGCAUGCUGGCUAAGUGACCCUUCCCACUGCAGUGUGCUAGUGAGUUGCAAACAGGGGCAGCAUAUGCUGGCCCCUCCCCUAUAGAUCAGUCACACUGCUGAGGCCUGUACUAUAUUAUUGUGGGUUGCCUCUCCUCUGGGUCAGUCAAAUUUCUGAGGCUUCACUGCGUUGGUGUGUACUGCUGUAGGGAACUGAUUUCAGAUAACCUAUUGGGUCUCAGCCAGGUCGUGUGACCCAGGCCUAACUCACUCCACCAAUCCUGUUUGGGAAGGGAACAAAUGGCUGAAGUCACUGCUGCCCUUUGUACUUGCCAGUCCUGCCCGGUCCAAGAAUGUUGUCUGCCAUUCUGUGGAAUGGCCCCACUCCCAUCACUCACCACAGUUUGAUGCAGGCUCCCUGCCAGCUCAGCUCUCUGUUUGGCUGGAUGACCCCUGACCUCAGUGUGACUGCACCUCGAGUGAGUCAAAGCAGUGGACCUUGGAUGGCUUGGCAAGUCACCCACUGCAGUGGGAGCACUGAAACUUUAACUGUUCCAAUAGUAGCACUGGGACUGUAUGUUUGAUUGGUUCUUCUCAUCUUAGUUUCUUCUUGGGACGAGUGAAUUCAUCUCCCUCAGCUUGGGGCUCCCCAUGCUGUAUUAUGUUGAAUUCUAAGUUGAUUAUCUCAGGGAGCCUCUGUAGCCAGCUGUUAUCUAUCCGCCAUCUUUGCUUUGCCUCCUAAAAAUCUCUGGAACUGUUUAACAUAGAAUUUGGACAACAACUCAUUGUUCCCUCAAAUUGUAAUGUGCUAAAUGUGUAAUAUGUCUUAUUGACUUGAUUGUGGGCACCCACAAUGACAUUAAAUCUAUAUUUCUCUGAAUAGUUCUCUACUUGCCUCUGUAUCAUUUAGGAAAGUUUUAGGACUUUCUUAAUUGUGGUAUCAAACACAAUUAUUCUCUAUUAGAAUAACACACUGCUUUCAAAAAACACAGACCACAGUUCUCUAAUGUUAAUUUAUGUAGAAAUCACAUAUACGUACUCCUGUACUAAAACUUCAGGCAAACUAUUAAAUGUAUGUGAAAAAGAUGAAAUAUAAUUAGAUAUUUUGAAAUGUUUUUCCCAAAUCAUCACACUGCAUACCAUUGGGAUUUAUGUACUCUGAAGAACCACUCUAUACAUCUUUCCUUAGCCAUCUUUCUGCUCACAGAAAAAGAAUGAGCAUUACCAGAAAAUUCCUGUAGUUUUUCCACUGAAAAUGAGGGAUAUUUGAAGCCAUUUUCACUAAAAAAGUAUCAAGAGUCACGUGAUAAUCAGGAAUAUGGGCAAUUCCUUUACCUUUUAAUCUUUCCCUCCUUCAUAAGUAUGAGUAAAUAACUGGAUUUCUACAACAACCAAAUGGGAUAUAUUAUUAUAGGUCCAUAGUCUCUUUUUUUUUUAUUUAAGGAGAAAAAGGAAAAAAAACCAAAAAGGGUAUAAGUAAUAUAAAAUUUAAAAAAUAAACAGUAAGAAAUCACUAGUUAAUAGAUUACAUAUUCUCAUCUUAGAAAUAGUUGUUCAGUGUUGGGAGCCGUGGCACUGUCAAGUCAUCAGACGCGGUGAUUGCGAGGCCUGUGGGAAAGUACAAAAGCCUGAGCUGGAUUACCCCUCUCAUCGAGCCCGCCUGUGUGGCACCUGUUUCUUAUCACCCCACUAAGUUCCCGCCUCACAGGGUAGUCUGCCUAGCUAUUAAUCCUAUAUAUAGCCAGUGCCUCCACCCCCGAGAGAGGGACUGAAGCACGAAAGGAGCCGCGGGGAGCGGACCAGAGGAGGCUUCGGAGCGAAGCACAAAAGGAGCCGCGGGGAGCGGACCGGUAGAGGCUUCGGGGCAGGCUGUACGGAGAAGGAAAAUAAAAGAAAAGGUUGUCCACCGCCAGACUUUGUCGUGUGUCCUUCCUGCCGGCCGGGAGCUGGGACACCGACAUUUGGAGGCCCGCACGGGGACUGAUCACCCCCGAGACGUGAAGUGGACAACGCUCCAGUACAGUGCUGCAAGACAGGUGAGUAGAGGAUAAGCCUGGGCCCUGGGUGGCGCGCACCUACAGGGUUUGUAGACUCCUCUCAACCUCACGCGUAAGUGGCGGGUUUCUUGGGCCUCACGCGGUGAGUAUGAAACAUAACACCAGAACUUAAGGUAAUAAAAGAGUGUAAAACAUAAACAUACAAGUAAAAAUAACAGAAGAUAUAUUAAAAAUGGGAAACAUGCCAAGUAAAGAUACACAGCCUUGGUGUUGGUCCUUCGGAGACUCCUAAAGUCCAAGGACCUCAAGGUGGGGCGUAAGACUUUAGAAAAUUUCCUUGCAGAGAUUGACAGCUUUGCUCCCUGGUUUCUGCCUACAGGGCAUGUAAACCUGCCCUCCUGGGAGAAGUUGGGCAGAGACCUUUCCCUAGCAGAACGGGAGGGUAGAGCUUCAGUCUCUGCUCGUCCGUUGUGGGAAAUGAUACACACGUGCCUAAAGAGUGAGGGUAGUUACGGGGGGAGCUCUCAAGAACUUGUAGAAGUAUGCGAGGUGUUUGAACAGGCACAGUCAGGAAGCUCCCGAGAAGGGUCCGUCAAGGAGGGCAGAGAUACAAAAGAGGAAGCCGAGGCGCGGUUUGUGUCUUUCUGCAGGAACCGGGACGAAAACCACUGUUGGUCCCAGAGAGGUUGACGCGACAAAGCCCUCGACUGAAGAUCAGACCUGCCCUGCCGGAGAUCCAUCACAGACCAACCAACAAGAUGAAUAGAAAUAGCGGUAGCCCAAAAUGGACAAAAAGAUCCUCAGGCAUACGCAUGGCUCGCUCGCAUGGCCUACGACCGCGUUUAAAAGUGACAGGCUUCCCACAUUCUCCUCCCUAGACAACAACAUGUAGCAGGGUGGAUGAGUCAAUGACGGGUAAGAGCGUGCCUCCCCAGCACGACUCAACCUAAGCCAGGCCCUACCCCGUUCCGCUCGAAAGCCGCUGGAUUGUUAGAUAAAUUUCUCUCCGAGGGGAUUCGUGGAGAGAAAUGAGUGCAUGCCUAUGUGCAACCAGGUUCCGUCCGGUUCAUUCCUGGCCCUAGAAAAAAGGACGAGGGCCUCGGGGCCUCGGCAGACUCGGGGACGGCCGACCCGGGCCGACGCCGAGAGCCCUUGGUGGGCCUCCUAUCAGGGCAUAGGCCUCUGCACUCUAUCCAGGACGGGCUGCGAUGCGCGUAUUCAUUUAAAAUAAAAUAGGGGGAGAUGUUGGGAGCCGUGGCACUGUCAAGUCAUCAGACGCGGUGAUUGCGAGGCCUGUGGGAAAGUACAAAAGCCUGAGCUGGAUUACCCCUCUCAUCGAGCCCGCCUGUGUGGCACCUGUUUCUUAUCACCCCACUAAGUUCCCGCCUCACAGGGUAGUCUGCCUAGCUAUUAAUCCUAUAUAUAGCCAGUGCCUCCACCCCCGAGAGAGGGACUGAAGCACGAAAGGAGCCGCGGGGAGCGGACCAGAGGAGGCUUCGGAGCGAAGCACAAAAGGAGCCGCGGGGAGCGGACCGGUAGAGGCUUCGGGGCAGGCUGUACGGAGAAGGAAAAUAAAAGAAAAGGUUGUCCACCGCCAGACUUUGUCGUGUGUCCUUCCUGCCGGCCGGGAGCUGGGACACCGACAGUUCAGGUUACAAAAUUGAAGCACCUAAAGUGGACUUUCCAACAGUGAGAGUGCAAACAGUUUUGUUCAAUGUUCUCACAGUUUUUCUAGAACACCUGCCUGAUCAUAGUGGAAGAAUAUAUUAACAAUUUAUGAGGAGUAUAAACAUUACUGGACAGAGUUGAGAGGAACGACACUUUUCUUUUAUACUGACAAAAAAAGUACAACAUAUGUUGACAAAUUGGACAUACUAAACUUCACUCGCCUUACCGAACAGAAUUCUGUUGAA